This 472-nucleotide ribosomal RNA is filed under the name uncultured bacterium. RNAcentral's name for it is "bacterial SSU rRNA". It matches the Rfam family "Bacterial small subunit ribosomal RNA", at positions 329 to 793 of the family's 1533-position model. The record is from RNAcentral.
CUACGCACUCCGUACGGGAGGCAGCAGUGGGGAAUAUUGCACAAUGGGCGCAAGCCUGAUGCAGCCAUGCCGCGUGUAUGAAGAAGGCCUUCGGGUUGUAAAGUACUUUCAGCAGUGAGGAAGGUGGGUAUGUUAAUAGCAUAUUCAUUUGACGUUAGCUGCAGAAGAAGCACCGGCUAACUCCGUGCCAGCAGCCGCGGUAAUACGGAGGGUGCGAGCGUUAAUCGGAAUUACUGGGCGUAAAGCGCAUGCAGGUGGUUUGUUAAGUCAGAUGUGAAAGCCCGGGGCUCAACCUCGGAAUUGCAUUUGAAACUGGCAAACUAGAGUACUGUAGAGGGGGUAGAAUUUCAGGUGUAGCGGUGAAAUGCGUAGAGAUCUGAAGGAAUACCGGUGGCGAAGGCGGCCCCCUGGACAGAUACUGACACUCAGAUGCGAAAGCGUGGGGAGCAAACAGGAUUAGAUACCCUGGUAG